RNAcentral lists this long non-coding RNA (658 nucleotides) under Volvox carteri. RNAcentral's name for it is "long non-coding RNA (VCAR_LNC002835)". Lineage: Eukaryota; Viridiplantae; Chlorophyta; Chlorophyceae; Chlamydomonadales; Volvocaceae. The record is from RNAcentral.
UUACGAGAGUCUCAGUAACGUUUCGGCUGCAGCGUGCUGCAGCAAGCAGUUUCUGUUGGAAAGCUGAUGACCUGCACGGAAUGCCAAGCCCCCUUGCCUUGAUAGCAGACAUUGCAUACGCCACGUAAGAUGAUCCUCAGCCCCGCAACCGACGACAAGAGAAGUUAUUAUUUGCCAAUUGCAGGAUAGCACGACCCGCAGCAGCCCUGUGCAUAAGAGCGACGCAGCCACGGCUUUCUGGACAUCAUAAUAGCAUCUCAAAGUCGUUCACAUAUGCCAAGUCAAGCCCUGGUCAGUAUGUCACCUUGCCCUUUGGUCACACCUAUGCUGGAUCAAGGGCUUCAUCGGUUCAUAUGACGCUAUCCUAAUACAUAAUCAAAAUGAAUGAUAGUUAUGACGGCCGUAAGCCGGAUAGGUAUCUUCCUGCAGUUGGUCCCUUGUGUGUUUGGGGUUGAAAACGCUUCGAGAGCAUAAGGUCAAAGGUUAUAGUCUAAGCUUGAAAACAUGUGCAAAUUACUUGUCAUAGUCAAAAUGGUUGUUUUGCGCAACGCGGAAACGACGACAGCAAGGGAACCAAUUUUGCGCGCGCGCUCCGAAGCCACGGUUUUCGGUCACUUUGACCGAGCUGAGGAUGUUGAUGACCGUGCUUCUCGUGUAC